RNAcentral lists this ribosomal RNA (467 nucleotides) under Selenomonas sp. oral taxon 140. Its description in RNAcentral is "bacterial SSU rRNA". It matches the Rfam family "Bacterial small subunit ribosomal RNA", at positions 28 to 472 of the family's 1533-position model. The record is from RNAcentral. Lineage: Bacteria; Bacillati; Bacillota; Negativicutes; Selenomonadales; Selenomonadaceae.
GACGAACGCUGGCGGCGUGCUUAACACAUGCAAGUCGAACGGAGCGAAUGAAAGCUUGCUUUUAUAAGCUUAGUGGCAAACGGGUGAGUAACACGUAGACAACCUGCCGACAGGAUGGGGACAACAUUCCGAAAGGAAUGCUAAUACCGAAUGAAGUCGAGGGAAGGCAUCUUCCUUCGAUGAAAGAUGGCCUCUAUAUAUAAGCUAUCACCUGUUGAUGGGUCUGCGUCUGAUUAGCUGGUAGGUGAGGUAACGGCUCACCUAGGCGACGAUCAGUAGCCGGUCUGAGAGGAUGAACGGCCACAUUGGGACUGAGACACGGCCCAGACUCCUACGGGAGGCAGCAGUGGGGAAUCUUCCGCAAUGGGCGCAAGCCUGACGGAGCAACGCCGCGUGAGUGAAGAAGGUCUUCGGAUCGUAAAGCUCUGUUGAUGGGGACGAACGUGCCUAAUGCGAAUAGUUUUAGG